Molecule: ribosomal RNA, 253 nt
Filed under: uncultured bacterium
Lineage: Bacteria
Description: partial 16S ribosomal RNA
Rfam family: Bacterial small subunit ribosomal RNA
Source: RNAcentral
UACGUAGGUGGCAAGCGUUGUCCGGAUUUACUGGGCGUAAAGGGCGUGCAGGCGGUUUGUUAAGUGCAGGGUGAAAGCUCCCGGCUCAACUGGGAGAGGUCCUUGCAUACUGGCAGACUUGAGGGAGGCAGAGGAAAGUGGAAUUCCCGGUGUAGUGGUGAAAUGCGUAGAUAUCGGGAGGAACAUCAGUGGCGAAGGCGGCUGCCUGGCCCAAUACUGACACUCAGGUGCGACAGCGUGGGGAGCAAACAGG